RNAcentral lists this ribosomal RNA (292 nucleotides) under uncultured Alphaproteobacteria bacterium. Its description in RNAcentral is "partial 16S ribosomal RNA". The record is from RNAcentral. Lineage: Bacteria; Pseudomonadati; Pseudomonadota; Alphaproteobacteria.
GGACUACUGGGGUAUCUAAUCCUGUUUGCUCCCCACGCUUUCGCGCCUUAGCGUCAGUAUCGAGCCAGAGAGUCGCCUUCGCCACCGGUGUUCUUGUGAAUAUCUACGAAUUUCACCUCUACACUCACAAUUCCACUCUCCUCUCUCGAUCUCAAGUCAAUCAGUAUCAAAUGCACCUCCUAGGUUAAGCCCAGGGCUUUCACAUCUGACUUGAAAGACCGCCUACGCGCCCUUUACGCCCAGUAAUUCUGAACAACGCUAGCCCCCUUCGUAUUACCGCGGCGGCUGGCAC